This 96-nucleotide ribosomal RNA is filed under the name uncultured bacterium. Its description in RNAcentral is "partial 16S ribosomal RNA". It matches the Rfam family "Bacterial small subunit ribosomal RNA", at positions 1388 to 1482 of the family's 1533-position model. The record is from RNAcentral.
CACCGCCCGUCACAUCACGAAAGUGGGUUGUACUAGAAGCGGCAGAGCUAACCCGUAAGGGGGCAUGUCUCUACGGUAUGAUUCAUGAUUGGGGUG